GGCUAGUUGGUUCAGUUGGUUACAACAUGGUGCUAAUAAUGCCAAGGUUGUGGGUUCAAAUCCUGUGUAGGCUG
RNAcentral lists this transfer RNA (74 nucleotides) under Otolemur garnettii (small-eared galago). It matches the Rfam family "tRNA". From Rfam's summary of the family: Transfer RNA (tRNA) molecules are approximately 80 nucleotides in length. Their secondary structure includes four short double-helical elements and three loops (D, anti-codon, and T loops). Lineage: Eukaryota; Metazoa; Chordata; Mammalia; Primates; Galagidae. The record is from Rfam by way of RNAcentral.